CGGGGGGAGCAAGCGUUGUUCGGAUUUACUGGGCGUAAAGGGCGCGUAGGCGGCCACGACAAGUCAGUUGUGAAAUCUCUGGGCUUAACUCAGAACGGUCAACUGAUACUGUCGGGCUAGAGUGCAGAAGGGGCAACUGGAAUUCUCGGUGUAGCGGUGAAAUGCGUAGAUAUCGAGAGGAACACCUGCGGCGAAGGCGGGUUGCUGGGCUGACACUGACGCUGAGGCGCGAAAGCUAGGGGAGCGAACGGGAUUAGAUACCCCGGUAGUCCUAGCCUUAAACGAUGAAUGCUUGGUGUCUCGGGUUUUAUAGUCCCGAGGUGCCGUCGCUAACGCAUUAAGCAUUCCGCCUGGGGAGUACGGUCGCAAGACUG
Molecule: ribosomal RNA, 374 nt
Filed under: uncultured organism
Description: bacterial SSU rRNA
Rfam family: Bacterial small subunit ribosomal RNA
Source: RNAcentral